This 561-nucleotide ribosomal RNA is filed under the name uncultured bacterium. Its description in RNAcentral is "bacterial SSU rRNA". It matches the Rfam family "Bacterial small subunit ribosomal RNA", at positions 338 to 916 of the family's 1533-position model. The record is from RNAcentral.
CCUACGGGAGGCAGCAGUGGGGAAUCUUGCGCAAUGGGCGAAAGCCUGACGCAGCCAUGCCGCGUGAAUGAUGAAGGUCUUAGGAUUGUAAAAUUCUUUCACCGGGGACGAUAAUGACGGUACCCGGAGAAGAAGCCCCGGCUAACUUCGUGCCAGCAGCCGCGGUAAUACGAAGGGGGCUAGCGUUGCUCGGAAUUACUGGGCGUAAAGGGAGCGUAGGCGGAUAGUUUAGUCAGAGGUGAAAGCCCAGGGCUCAACCUUGGAAUUGCCUUUGAUACUGGCUAUCUUGAGUAUAGGAGAGGUAUGCGGAACUCCGAGUGUAGAGGUGAAAUUCGUAGAUAUUCGGAAGAACACCAGUGGCGAAGGCGGCAUACUGGCCCAUUACUGACGCUGAGGCUCGAAAGCGUGGGGAGCAAACAGGAUUAGAUACCCUGGUAGUCCACGCUGUAAACGAUGAGUGCUAGUUGUCGGCAUGCAUGCAUGUCGGUGACGCAGCUAACGCAUUAAGCACUCCGCCUGGGGAGUACGGUCGCAAGAUUAAAACUCAAAUGAAAUUGACGG